This is a long non-coding RNA of Globicephala melas (long-finned pilot whale), 2620 nucleotides long. RefSeq lists it as uncharacterized. The record is from RefSeq and is a predicted model, not a curated record. NCBI's taxonomy places the organism in Eukaryota, Metazoa, Chordata, Mammalia, Artiodactyla, Delphinidae.
UCCAAGGCUUGUUGAUGCAAAGAAUAAAGCUCCCUUGCUGAAUCUUUUUGGGGACUGGUGCCCAAGAAUUGUCCUAGUUUCUCUCCUAGUUUGAGUGAUCAGAGGUUCUAGCUUCCCCUUUCUCGGAUUGAUUGAUCCUUAGCUGACCUGGGAAGAGUCUCAGACUCACUGAAAUCCAGCACACCUUUGUGAAAGCUCAGCAGAGAGAAGUUGUGAUUUGCUCCAAAUUUUGCUGCUGGAAAAUAGGGUUCCACUCUUAUAUGCAUGUACACAAAGGAUUACUUUGAUGACAGACCGAUGACAUGUGAACAGAAGAGACACGUUACUUCUAAGUUACGGCUUUAGUUGCAUUUAGUUGUGCUAUUUAACUCUCCAGCCUUCUGCCCUCUUGUUGUCAUGAUCAGGAAAGCCACCUGUUCUGGGUGGCACUGCUACAAGAUGGCAGAGCUCCUGUCAGCCAGGGUGACUGCAUGAUGGCUACAGAGCCCUAAACAACCCAAGUUGGACGUGAAUGCAGAGUAUGAAAAGCUCAUGGAUAUGAUUUCAGAUUCUGCGUUGCAACUAACCUUGAAGAAACUAUCACCUGUUGCGUUUGACUAAUGGAUCAAAAAAAGAAAUUCACAAAUAUCUGAAAAACCUAUUAAAAUGCUUCUCCCUUUUCCCACUACAUAUCAGCAUGAGGCUGAAUUUUCUUCAUGUGAUUCCAUCAAAACAACAUACUGCAACACAUUAUGGAAGCAGCAGGAGCUCUAGAGAAAGAUCUCGAAAGGAACUGGCAUUCUUCGAAAGCAACUCCAUCACUUUCCACGGUCAAACCUCUGCUCCUUGUUGGGAUGGCCUUACUCAUAACCAGAUUCACUGUCUAAAAUACUGAAGACCUGGGCUUCCCUGGUGGCGCAGUGGUUGAGAAUCUGCCUGCCAAUGCAGGGGACACGGGUUCGAGCCCUGGUCCGGGAAGAUCCCACAUGCCGCGGAGCAACUGGGCCCGUGAGCCACAACUACUGAGCCUGCGCGUCUGGAGCCUGUGCUCCGCAACAAGAGAGGCCACGAUAAUGAGAGGCCCGCACACCGCGAUGAAGAGUGGCCCCCGCUCGCUGCAACUAGAGAAAGCCUUCGUGUAGAAACAAAGACCCAACACAGCCAUAAAUAAAUAAAUAAAGCAAACUGUCAACAAGCAAAAAUAAAAUAAACAGUAAAAUACUGAAGACGUGGUUAGCCUUCUCGAAACAUGCCUGCUUCCCUGCACUUUCUCUUCUUUAUAAGAGUACCACCAACUUGCUUAAUUUCCCAGCCCUAAAACCUCAAAGGCAUUUGUGUCUUGUCUCUCUCACUCGUUGCUCCGCCCCAGACAAUUCUCCCUUCCCAGUGUUUUGCUUCUCCGCCUUUCUUUCAACUCCUACUGCCACCCACCCAGUUCAGGACUUUGUCAAUGCAGACCUGGCCCUUGGGAAAAAAUGUGUUAAUUUUUCUGCUUGUUGUCACUCUCUCCUCUUUAAGCUCAUUCUGAUGAAUGAUGGAAACUUUUAGAGUUAAAACAUUUCAAUCCAUUACUGUCUUUUUAAAAAGUUUUGAAUCUGUUCCUAUUGCCUAAAGGAUAAAUUCCUUUGAAGUUCCUCCAUUCAAUGUCAUUCAAUGUCAUCCCCAGUUAGGGCUAACCUGUUUUUCAAGCAUUAUCUCCCACCACCACCUUAUCUGACCUUCUUCUGCAAUCUGGCUGCUUUAUUCACUGUCAGAAAAACAUCCUUUGUAUGUUCUCACCUUUGCACUCUUACUCUUGGCAUCCCCUAAUCGAUGUACCUUUCACAUUCUUUAAUACAUUCUAACUCGCAUCAAAAAUCUUCUGUAAAGCUUUCUCUGGGCAUCUCAGUUUGAAAUGUCAUCCCUCCCCUAAGCUCCUAUACCAGGUAAUGUUUGUGUAAUUUACUCAUGAAAUUUCUCCUUAGAUUAAACUGAGAUUCUUUAUAUUGACGUUUUAAUUCUUGUUCCCUUGCCAAGUAUCUCAUGCCACAUACUUAGUAAGGGCUCUGAUAAAAAUAAUUUUGGAAUUAUGUUCAUAGGGAGAAUUAAAUAUCAGAAGAAUUUCAGAUGAAAGACCAUGUUUAAGUUUGAGAAACUGGCAUUUUCUAAACAUCAUAUAGGCUUCUGUUUUAUGUGAUGGCUUUUCCAUGAAAUGUUCCCCUUCUCCUUCUGCAACAAGACUGGAAUCAGAGAGAGCUUAUUAAUAAAUUGUUUUUUUUCCCCUCUACUCUAAUAAAAGUGAAAAAAGUUGGUGGAUUUCCUAUGGAAUAUUCUUCCAUUGUUUUCCCUGACACUCUAUGCAAAUGAAAGGACUGAAAGCUAAAUAUUAUGUUUUGUUUACCUGUAGAGACAGAAUUUAGAAAGAAAAAAACCUGGAGACUAGACACAAAGCCAAUGGCCAAUCCCAAAUUUGAACCCAGAUUUUCUGAAUCCCAGAGCAUCCUGUAUUCUACCUCACCCCUUCUCAUCUGGAGGAAAGAAAUACUACUCUAUCUAACUGAUGAUUGACGGAUCAUCUAAAUUCAUCUUAUAGACAUAUUCCUUUUUGGACUUUUGAUUGUAAUCCUGCAACAUUAAUCUUUUGCAGUCAGUUUGCAGUUUA